GGAAGUUUUGGGCUCACGACGCGAUUAACAAAGAAAUUUUGAAAAGUCCCAAUAUUAUUUUUCGAGUUUUUAAGUUUCUAAACGAAAUUUAAGCAAGAUGCCGAAGCCAGUCGCAAAUCAGGAGGAUGAGGAUCCCACCCCAUACCUGUUCGUGUCUUUGGAGCAAAGGCGUAUCGAUCAAUCGAAACCCUAUGACUCGAAGAAGUCUUGCUGGAUCCCCGAUGAGAAGGAGGGUUAUCUCCUUGGUGAGAUCAAGGCCACCAAGGGCGAUAUCGUCUCCGUUGGUCUGCAGGGUGGAGAGACACGAGACUUAAAGAAAGAUCUGCUCCAGCAAGUGAACCCCCCGAAAUACGAAAAAGCCGAGGAUAUGUCCAACUUGACAUACCUUAACGAUGCCUCUGUGCUCCAUAACUUGAGACAGAGAUACUACAACAAGCUGAUCUACACCUACUCCGGUCUUUUCUGCGUUGCCAUCAAUCCUUACAAGCGCUACCCCGUGUAUACCAACCGUUGCGCUAAGAUGUACCGUGGCAAGCGCCGUAAUGAGGUGCCACCCCAUAUUUUCGCCAUCUCUGACGGUGCCUACGUCGACAUGUUGACCAACCACGUGAAUCAAUCUAUGUUGAUCACCGGUGAGUCUGGUGCCGGAAAGACUGAGAACACCAAGAAGGUCAUUGCGUACUUCGCCACUGUUGGUGCCUCCAAGAAGACCGAUGAGACCGCCAAGAGCAAGGGCUCCCUGGAAGAUCAGGUUGUGCAGACCAACCCUGUGCUUGAGGCCUUCGGUAACGCCAAGACCGUGCGUAACGAUAACUCCUCUCGUUUCGGUAAAUUCAUCCGUAUCCACUUCGGACCCACUGGUAAACUGGCUGGUGCUGAUAUUGAGACCUAUCUGCUGGAGAAGGCCCGUGUCAUCUCCCAGCAGUCCCUGGAGCGUUCUUACCACAUCUUCUACCAGAUCAUGUCUGGCUCCGUUGCCGGUGUUAAAGACAUUUGUCUGUUGACCGAUAACAUCUACGAUUACCACAUUGUCUCCCAGGGCAAGGUCACUGUAGCCAGUAUCGAUGAUGCUGAGGAGUUCUCCCUCACCGAUCAAGCCUUCGACAUCUUGGGCUUCACCAAGCAGGAGAAGGAGGAUGUGUAUAAGAUCACCGCCGCUGUCAUGCACAUGGGUGGCAUGAAGUUCAAGCAACGUGGUCGCGAGGAGCAGGCUGAGCAGGACGGCGAGGAGGAGGGUGGCCGUGUGUCGAAGCUGUUCGGUUGCGAUACCGCCGAGCUGUACAAGAACUUGCUGAAGCCCCGCAUCAAGGUCGGCAACGAGUUCGUCACCCAGGGCCGUAACGUCCAGCAGGUCACCAACUCGAUCGGUGCCCUCUGCAAGGGUGUGUUCGAUCGUCUGUUCAAGUGGCUGGUGAAGAAGUGUAACGAGACUCUGGAUACCCAGCAGAAGCGUCAGCACUUCAUUGGUGUACUGGAUAUUGCUGGUUUUGAGAUCUUCGAGUACAACGGUUUCGAGCAACUGUGUAUUAACUUCACCAACGAGAAGUUGCAACAAUUCUUCAACCAUCACAUGUUCGUUUUGGAGCAAGAAGAAUACAAGAGGGAAGGCAUUGACUGGGCCUUCAUCGAUUUCGGUAUGGACUUGUUGGCCUGUAUCGAUCUGAUUGAAAAGCCCAUGGGUAUCUUGUCCAUCCUGGAGGAAGAGUCUAUGUUCCCCAAGGCCACCGAUCAGACCUUCUCGGAGAAGCUGACCAACACCCAUUUGGGCAAGUCGGCUCCAUUCCAGAAGCCCAAGCCUCCAAAGCCCGGUCAGCAGGCUGCCCACUUCGCCAUUGCCCAUUAUGCUGGUUGCGUGUCCUACAACAUCACCGGUUGGUUGGAGAAGAACAAGGAUCCUCUGAACGACACCGUUGUCGACCAGUUCAAGAAGUCGCAGAACAAGCUGCUGAUCGAAAUCUUCGCCGAUCACGCCGGUCAGUCGGGUGGCGGUGAACAGGCCAAGGGAGGUCGUGGCAAGAAGGGCGGUGGCUUCGCUACCGUCUCGUCGGCCUACAAGGAGCAGUUGAACAGCUUGAUGACCACUCUGCGUUCGACCCAGCCUCACUUCGUCCGUUGCAUCAUUCCCAACGAAAUGAAGCAGCCUGGCGUGGUUGAUGCCCACUUGGUCAUGCACCAGCUGACCUGUAACGGUGUGCUUGAAGGUAUCCGUAUUUGCCGUAAGGGUUUCCCCAACAGGAUGAUGUACCCCGACUUCAAGAUGCGCUACCAAAUCCUGAACCCCAAGGGUAUCAAGGGUAUUGAGGAUCCCAAGAAAUGCACGAAGGUUCUGAUCGAGUCAACCGAACUGAACGAUGAUCAGUACCGUUUGGGUAACACAAAGGUGUUCUUCCGCGCCGGUGUCCUGGGUCAGAUGGAGGAGUUCCGUGAUGAGCGUCUGGGCAAGAUCAUGUCCUGGAUGCAGGCCUGGGCCCGUGGUUACCUGUCCCGUAAGGGCUUCAAGAAGCUCCAGGAACAGCGCGUCGCCCUCAAGGUUGUCCAGCGCAAUCUGCGCAAGUACCUGCAGCUCCGUACCUGGCCCUGGUACAAACUGUGGCAGAAGGUCAAGCCCCUCCUCAACGUCAGCCGCAUCGAGGAUGAGAUUGCCCGUCUGGAGGAGAAGGCCAAGAAGGCUGAGGAACUGCACGCCGCUGAAGUGAAAGUGCGCAAGGAGCUGGAGGCCCUCAACGCCAAGCUGUUGGCUGAGAAGACCGCUCUGCUGGACUCCCUGUCCGGCGAGAAGGGUGCCCUGCAGGACUACCAGGAGCGCAACGCCAAGUUGACCGCCCAGAAGAACGACCUCGAGAACCAGCUGCGCGAUAUCCAAGAGCGCCUGACUCAGGAGGAGGAUGCCCGCAACCAGCUGUUCCAGCAGAAGAAGAAGGCCGACCAGGAGAUCUCUGGCCUGAAGAAGGACAUCGAGGAUCUGGAAUUGAACGUCCAGAAGGCCGAGCAGGACAAGGCCACCAAGGAUCACCAGAUCCGCAACUUGAACGACGAGAUCGCCCACCAGGAUGAGCUCAUCAACAAGUUGAACAAGGAGAAGAAGAUGCAGGGCGAGACCAACCAGAAGACCGGUGAGGAGCUCCAGGCUGCCGAGGACAAGAUCAACCACUUGAACAAGGUUAAGGCCAAGCUCGAGCAGACCCUCGAUGAACUGGAGGAUUCGCUGGAGCGCGAGAAGAAGGUGCGCGGCGAUGUUGAGAAGUCCAAGCGCAAGGUUGAGGGCGACCUCAAGCUCACCCAGGAGGCUGUUGCCGAUCUGGAGCGCAACAAGAAGGAGCUCGAGCAGACCAUCCAGCGCAAGGACAAGGAGCUGUCCUCCAUCACCGCCAAGCUCGAGGACGAGCAGGUCGUUGUUCUGAAGCACCAGCGCCAGAUCAAGGAACUGCAGGCCCGCAUCGAGGAGCUCGAGGAAGAGGUCGAGGCUGAGCGCCAGGCCCGCGCCAAGGCUGAGAAGCAGCGCGCCGAUCUGGCCCGCGAACUCGAGGAAUUGGGCGAGCGUCUGGAGGAGGCUGGCGGUGCCACCUCUGCCCAGAUUGAGCUCAACAAGAAGCGUGAGGCUGAGUUGAGCAAACUGCGUCGCGAUCUUGAGGAGGCCAACAUCCAGCACGAGUCCACCCUGGCUAACCUGCGCAAGAAGCACAACGAUGCCGUCGCCGAGAUGGCCGAGCAGGUUGACCAGCUCAACAAGCUGAAGGCUAAGGCUGAGAAGGAGAAGAACGAGUACUACGGCCAGUUGAACGAUCUGCGCGCCGGUGUCGACCACAUUACCAACGAGAAGGCUGCCCAGGAGAAGAUCGCCAAGCAGCUGCAGCACACCCUCAACGAGGUGCAGUCGAAACUGGAUGAGACCAACAGGACUCUGAACGACUUCGAUGCCAGCAAGAAGAAGCUGUCCAUUGAGAACUCCGAUCUGCUCCGCCAGCUGGAGGAGGCCGAGUCCCAGGUGUCUCAGCUGUCCAAGAUCAAGAUCUCUCUGACCACCCAGUUGGAGGACACCAAGCGUCUGGCCGACGAGGAGUCGCGCGAGCGUGCCACCCUUUUGGGCAAGUUCCGCAACUUGGAGCACGACCUGGACAAUCUGCGCGAGCAGGUUGAGGAGGAGGCUGAGGGCAAGGCCGAUCUGCAGCGCCAGCUGAGCAAGGCCAACGCUGAGGCCCAGGUGUGGCGCAGCAAGUACGAGUCCGAUGGCGUUGCCCGCUCUGAGGAGCUGGAGGAGGCCAAGAGGAAGCUGCAGGCCCGUUUGGCCGAGGCCGAGGAGACCAUCGAGUCCCUCAACCAGAAGUGCAUUGGCCUGGAGAAGACCAAGCAGCGUCUGUCCACCGAGGUGGAGGAUCUGCAGCUGGAGGUCGACCGUGCCAACGCCAUUGCCAACGCUGCCGAGAAGAAGCAGAAGGCCUUCGACAAGAUCAUCGGCGAGUGGAAACUCAAGGUCGACGAUCUGGCUGCUGAGCUGGAUGCCUCCCAGAAGGAGUGCCGCAACUACUCCACCGAGCUGUUCCGUCUUAAGGGCGCCUACGAGGAGGGCCAGGAGCAGUUGGAGGCUGUGCGUCGUGAGAACAAGAACCUGGCUGAUGAGGUCAAGGAUCUGCUCGACCAGAUCGGUGAGGGUGGCCGCAACAUCCAUGAGAUCGAGAAGGCCCGCAAGCGCCUGGAAGCCGAGAAGGACGAGCUCCAGGCUGCCCUCGAGGAGGCUGAGGCCGCUCUUGAGCAGGAGGAGAACAAGGUGCUCCGCGCUCAGCUUGAGCUGUCCCAGGUGCGCCAGGAGAUCGACCGCCGCAUCCAGGAGAAGGAGGAGGAGUUCGAGAACACCCGCAAGAACCACCAGCGUGCCCUCGACUCCAUGCAGGCUUCCCUCGAAGCCGAGGCCAAGGGCAAGGCUGAGGCCCUGCGCAUGAAGAAGAAGCUGGAGGCUGACAUCAACGAGCUUGAGAUUGCUCUGGAUCACGCCAACAAGGCUAACGCCGAGGCCCAGAAGAACAUCAAGCGUUACCAGCAGCAGCUGAAGGACAUCCAGACUGCCCUUGAGGAGGAGCAGCGCGCCCGCGACGAUGCCCGCGAACAGCUGGGUAUCUCCGAGCGUCGUGCCAACGCCCUCCAGAACGAACUGGAGGAGUCUCGCACUCUGCUGGAGCAGGCCGACCGUGGCCGUCGCCAGGCCGAGCAGGAGCUGGCCGAUGCCCACGAGCAGCUGAACGAAGUGUCCGCCCAGAACGCCUCCAUCUCCGCUGCCAAGAGGAAGCUGGAGUCCGAGCUGCAGACCCUGCACUCCGACCUGGACGAACUCCUGAACGAAGCCAAGAACUCCGAGGAGAAGGCCAAGAAGGCUAUGGUCGAUGCCGCCCGCCUGGCCGAUGAGCUCCGCGCUGAGCAGGAUCAUGCCCAGACCCAGGAGAAAUUGAGGAAGGCCCUCGAGCAGCAGAUCAAGGAGCUGCAGGUCCGUCUGGACGAGGCUGAGGCCAACGCCCUCAAGGGAGGCAAGAAGGCCAUUCAGAAGCUUGAGCAGCGCGUCCGCGAGCUCGAGAACGAGCUGGAUGGUGAGCAGAGGAGGCACGCCGAUGCCCAGAAGAACCUGCGCAAGUCCGAGCGUCGCGUCAAGGAGCUGAGCUUCCAGUCCGAGGAGGACCGCAAGAACCACGAGCGCAUGCAGGAUCUGGUCGACAAGCUGCAACAGAAGAUCAAGACAUACAAGAGGCAGAUCGAGGAGGCCGAGGAAAUUGCCGCCCUCAACUUGGCCAAAUUCCGCAAGGCUCAGCAGGAGCUUGAGGAGGCCGAGGAGCGUGCCGAUCUGGCCGAGCAGGCCAUCAGCAAAUUCCGCGCCAAGGGACGUGCCGGUUCUGUCGGUCGUGGUGCCAGCCCAGCGAUCUAAGCCUGAGGCAUCACCAUCGAAUAAAAAAUCUAUAUAGCGAUCCAAUUAUGGUUCAUUUACGAUAAUGAGAGAACAAAACCAUGCAAAGAGAAUUAUAGCUUAUAAGAAUUAUUAUAAAAUAAAUACUAAUAACAAUAAUAUAGAUGCAUCACACGACAUUCGCUAGCAGACAAAAAUGUAUAAAUUAGAGGCCACCCCAAUCAGAAAUCAAUGGAUCAAUUCAUCGAAUACCAACCAAGAAUGCGUUCAUUUUGACAGAAAACCAGACAAAAAGCCAAAAAAAAAUAUUGCAAAUAAAUAAGCAAGCAACCAACUGCAGCACCAGGCUAAAUCAAUCGAAAUGCUUUCUUUACCACUAUUUACAAAAGAGAAAAAACAAUACUAUUCUUCCACUAUAUUAUUAUAAACUGUAUUUGUACAUGUGUACUGCAGCCGACAGCGUCAAAGGGCCGCAAGAGCGCGCUGCUGGAGCAGUAGAAACUUUCUUGAAACAUUUCCCCGUGCGACGUCCGUUAGGCCACAAUUCGACGGAUUGGCCUUCCCACCAAGAUUCGACCUUGCUCCUGAAAACGAAUUCUAAAUGCCAUUUCAUUUUUUAAUUUAUUUUAAAUGAUAUUUCAUAAUGAUUAUGUUUAUGAUUUUAAUUUAAUUUCUUAAUUUAAAAACAAAAUAAUAAAACUAUAACAAAAUAAAUAUCGAAAACGACGGGAGGCAAACCACCAACAACGCCAGAUGCACUUAGGCAAAAAAUGAAAUCAUAUAACAACAAUCGAUCACCAUCGAUUAGCAUACAUAAUACAUAAGUGAUCAGUAACAGGCUAUUGUGUAAGCGCGACAUUUGCCAUGGGGACACUGCUCGCUGGACCUGUAUUUGUAUUUGUAUUUAUAUAUUUUUAUACAACUUUCGAAAUGCAUUCAACCAACUAACUAUGAAAGAACCAUCGACUCUCUCAACCGAACAACAUGAGAAUAAUCGCGAAUUGUGAGCCCCGUCAAAAUGAAGGCCCCGCGGAAGUGUCCGCCGGUAAAUGUCGCCCGCAGUUCGAAUAUUUUGCUCUAUAUGUACUCCCAAUUUUGUUUGUCAUGCAGACCAGACAAGACUUACGGACGACACGAGCUACACACUGCGCUUAUGUUUAUGUUUAACUCUGACUCUAUCAAGCAGUGAUAGGGAGAUAAGAUCAUCACUUGACACUAAAUGAAAAGUAUACAAAAAAGGAACAAAAUAAAUGUAAAUCAAUUUA
Molecule: RNA transcript, 7152 nt
Organism: Drosophila sechellia
Lineage: Eukaryota; Metazoa; Arthropoda; Insecta; Diptera; Drosophilidae
Gene: Mhc
Gene name: myosin heavy chain
Exons: 18
Source: RefSeq, a predicted model, not a curated record